GUCCUGAUGAAUUUUUUUCAUCACAGACCUGUUCUGAGCAAUGAUGUUAUGUAUUUCUGACA
Molecule: small nucleolar RNA, 62 nt
Filed under: Euglena gracilis
Lineage: Eukaryota; Euglenozoa; Euglenophyceae; Euglenales; Euglenaceae
Description: Eg-m164 box C/D methylation-guide
Source: RNAcentral